UACGUAGGGUGCAAGCGUUGUCCGGAAUUAUUGGGCGUAAAGAGCUCGUAGGCGGUCUGUCGCGUCUGCUGUGAAAACUCAGGGCUUAACCCUGAGCUUGCAGUGGGUACGGGCAGACUAGAGUGCGGUAGGGGAGACUGGAAGUUCCUGGUGUAGCGGUGAAAUGCGCAGAUAGUCAGGAGGAACACCGGUGGCGAAGGCGGGUCCUCUGGGC
RNAcentral lists this ribosomal RNA (214 nucleotides) under uncultured bacterium. Its description in RNAcentral is "partial 16S ribosomal RNA". It matches the Rfam family "Bacterial small subunit ribosomal RNA", at positions 524 to 734 of the family's 1533-position model. The record is from RNAcentral.